This 427-nucleotide ribosomal RNA is filed under the name uncultured archaeon. RNAcentral describes it as "bacterial SSU rRNA". It matches the Rfam family "Archaeal small subunit ribosomal RNA", at positions 147 to 575 of the family's 1478-position model. The record is from RNAcentral.
UAAUACCGGAUAGAUCAAAGAUACUGGAAUGUUCUCUGGUCCAAAACUCCGGUGCCCAAGGAUGGGUCUGCGGCCUAUCAGGUAGUAGUGGGUGUAACGUACCUACUAGCCAGCGACGGGUAAGGGUUGUGAGAGCAAGAUCCCUGAGAUGGAUUCUGAGACAUGAAUCCAGGCCCUACGGGGCGCAGCAGGCGCGAAAUCUUUACACUGCGGGAAACCGCGAUAAGGGGACCCCGAGUGCCAGCGCCUAGUGCUGGCUGUCCAGCUGUCCAAAUAACAGUUGUUAGCAAGGGCCGGGCAAGACCGGUGCCAGCCGCCGCGGUAACACCGGCGGCCCGAGUGGUAGCCGCUAUUAUUGGGUUUAAAGGGCCCGUAGCCGGCCUAUUAAGUCUCUUGGGAAAUCUGGCGGCUCAAUCGUCAGGCGUUC